GGUUUCCUCCUCCGUUGGAGCAAUUUAACUUGACUACUGAUGCAACAGUCCUCUCAGGUGGUAAGAUUGGGCUAGGGGUAGUUCUGAGGGAUGAUAAGGCGGAAAUUAUGAUGGCAGCUUCGAAAGGCUUUUGUGCGUCCUAGGAUGUGGACUUAACAGAAAUCCAAGCCAUCUUCUUAGGGGUACACACAGCUUUUGACGCUGGUUUUGCUCAUUUCCAGAUUGAGAGUGGUAGGAGCUCUGUUAUCUCUCUGCAGCAUGAGUUGUGUGUUCCAGAUAUCCUGCACCUCCUUCACCCUGUGCAAGCGGUAGGUUUUCUGCAUGUUAGAAGGACAGCUAAUAGAUUGGCUUACUAGUUGGCUCAAGAUAGUUUAGUAAACCAGCACAUAAAUCUGUUUGGUUGGAGGAUGUUCCACCAAAUCUUGGGGCGAUAGCUGUUUCUGAUGUAAUUCUGUUUUCAGAUUAAUCCAGUGUUUC
Molecule: unclassified non-coding RNA, 477 nt
Filed under: Hevea brasiliensis (rubber tree)
Lineage: Eukaryota; Viridiplantae; Streptophyta; Magnoliopsida; Malpighiales; Euphorbiaceae
Source: RNAcentral